This 501-nucleotide long non-coding RNA is filed under the name Homo sapiens (human). Its description in RNAcentral is "non-protein coding lnc-NDUFB3-1:1". Lineage: Eukaryota; Metazoa; Chordata; Mammalia; Primates; Hominidae. The record is from RNAcentral.
AUAGUGCCGAAGGCGAAAAAGGAAGCUCCUACCCAUCUUAAAGCAGAAGCCAAAGCAAAGGCUUUGAAGGCCAAGAAAGCAGUGCUGAAAGGCUGAAAGUAGUCAUAAAAUAUGGUAAGUGGCAUCAAACACAUACACAAAAAAAGAAGAUCCGCAAGUCACCCACGUCCCGGUGGCCCAAGGCACUGCAGCCCCAUAGGCAGCCCAAAUAUCCUUGUAAGAUAGCAGGAUACAAGGAGAAAGAAGCUUGACCACUAUACCAUCAUCAAGUUCCUGCUGACCAGAGUUCACCAUGAAGAAGAUAGAAGACAACAUAUUUGUGUUCAUUGUGGAUGUUAAAGCCAACAAGCACCAGGUCAAAUAGGCUACAAAGAAGCUCCAUAACAUUGAUGAGCCAAGAUCAAGACCCUGAUCAGACCUGAUGAAGAGAAGAAGGCUUAUGUUUGACUGGCUCCUGAUUAUGAUGCUUUGGAGGUUGUCAACAAAAUUGGGAUCAUCUAA